ACAGACGGAUGGGUCUGAGUUUGGUUGGAUGAACAGACGGAUGGAUGUUUCAGAUAAAUCCUUCGUUUCAGGAUCAAACUUUGAGAUUUCUCUGAUUUGUGAUCCGUUUUCUCGGAGGCCCAGAGCUUCACAGGAACCGAGGACGAGUUCUGGGGAUUCAUCUACGACUGAAGGUUCUGCGGGACGGACGGAUUGCUCUGAUGGUUCUGUUCUGGGUCUGUCGCUGAGACCGUCCUGGCUCCACCGUCUCCAUGGUAACAGUUUUUUAUUGGCCGUUGCAGCUUGGAGACUUCCUGCUGUUUUCAUUCCUGAAGUUCUGGACCAAGAGAACCACCUUUGAACAUGUCUGGUUCUACCACAACCCAACUGGUGCGGUCCAUCAGAGCCUUCCUGAUUUCAAUUCUUCUUCUGUGGUUCUGUUUUUACUCUGAUGUCUAACAGGAACCACUGGACCGGAUGAAGGACUGAAUACGACCGGUACCGCUCAGCUUAUUGUCAUCUAUUCUAACUAUUAAAACAUUUCAUCACUGAUAGUAAGUUGGUGGUUUUGGGUCAGAACUUUUCCCGGGUUUCUGUGUAAAGUGAAGAAUCGGUGAAGUCAUGGUUCUGGGCAGAACUCGGACCCGUCCAUGAGUUUUUUCAGGCUUUAUGGGAGUUUCUCCCUCAGAUGUGACUGUCAGGCGCUGAAGAACCACCUGAACCACAGGAGCCAGUGACCCGGUUCUGGACCGAAGCUGAGCGGUUCUGAAAUCGAGGGGUUCUGGACCGAAACUGAGCGGUUCUGAAGUCGAGCGGUUCUGGACCGAAACUGAGCGGUUCUGAAGUUGAGCGGUUCUGGACCGAAGCUGAGCGGUUCUGAAGUUGAGCGGUUCUGGACAGACAGCUGAGUGGACAAGGUCCAGAGAAGAACCUGGAGGAGUAUCAGGAAGUCUCCAUGGCAACGAGACAGGUCCAACCUGAUCACGUGACCUGUUGACUGACGGGUCAGAAGGUUAAAGGUCAGGCCUGAGCUACUAAACAGCGAGGUCAGAGGUCGAGCUGUUCAAUGACGGUGAUGAAGACGCCUCCUCUUCCUCUCUCUUUGUAGCUCCGUGUCUCUGAUGUGAGGCACUCGGCGAACUCGGAGCUCCGGUCCAGAUUAAAGGAGAGGAGGCCUCCUUUAUUUUUAGACCUUCAUGUUUAAUGGAUGGACCCGCCUCCUCCUCGGGCCGCCGCCUCGUCGCCGUGGAAACCUGCAGGAAGCAGAGGAGCUGUCACGCCAUCCUGCUGCCGAUGGAGACGAGUCAGACCUGGAGGGGAGGAUUCGAGUCACCAAAGCACCUGAGGAAGGGAUGACCUGAGUGGGACCUGGAGUCCGAGUCGGUUCUGAACUGAACCAUCCUAGUCAGACCUGAAUAGGAUGGAAAAAAUGAAACGAGUCAGACCAAGACAUGAACAAGUUAUCCAAGUCAAAUCUAACCAAAUUAUCCAAGUCAGACUUGUAUAGGACAAAGAAAUAAUCCAAGUCAGACCUAGACGAUAUAAACAGAAUCAUCCGAGUCAGACUUGGUUGGGAUCAGUCAAGUCAGACCGAGUUUUAUGGUUCUGAGCUGGAGAGUUCCUCCGAGUCCAGCAGGUCCAUUCUGGACCAGCAGCUCCUCCGAGUCCAGCAGGUCUGGUCUGGACCAGCAGCUCCUCCGAGUCCAGCAGGUCUGGUCUGGACCAGCAGCUCCUCCGAGUCCAGCAGGUCCGGUCUGGACCAGCAGUUCCUCCGAGUCCAGCAGGUCCAUUCUGGACCAGCAGCUCCUCCGAGUCCAGCAGGUCCGGUCUGGACCAGCAGCUCCUCCGAGUCCAGCAGGUCUGGUCUGGACCAGCAGCUUCUUCCUUGUGACUUUUUGAAACUUUGCAGGUCUCAGUAGAACUUUGGGCUGAUUUCUGUUUGAUUAUUGAUCCCAAACUGUUUGGAUGUUUUUGAUUUUCCUGUAUUUGAUCAGAAUUGUAUUCUAGUUUUUUCUGGAUUCUGUUUAUUCGACAUCCUGGCCUCACAGUUUAACGGAGUGAAAUCAGAUCAGAUUAUCCUCUAAACUCGUUCAUGUUUCGGUUUACAAAUCAACACAAACUGGAUUAAACGCAAAGUGUUCACACA
Long non-coding RNA from Xiphophorus couchianus (Monterrey platyfish), 2125 nucleotides. RefSeq lists it as uncharacterized. The transcript is spliced from 2 exons. The record is from RefSeq and is a predicted model, not a curated record. NCBI's taxonomy places the organism in Eukaryota, Metazoa, Chordata, Actinopteri, Cyprinodontiformes, Poeciliidae.